RNAcentral lists this ribosomal RNA (488 nucleotides) under uncultured bacterium. Its description in RNAcentral is "bacterial SSU rRNA". It matches the Rfam family "Bacterial small subunit ribosomal RNA", at positions 33 to 507 of the family's 1533-position model. The record is from RNAcentral.
GACGACGCUGGCGGCGUGGAUUAGGCAUGCAAGUCGAACGGUAUCAUCCUUUCGGGGAUGAGAGAGUGGCGAACGGGUGAGUAACACGUAGGUGAUCUACCCUCAAGGACGGGGACAACCCAGGGAAACUUGGGCUAAUACCGGAUGUGAGCUAUCGCGAGAUAGUUUGAAAGGUGGCUUCGGCUGCCGCUUGGGGAUGAGCCUGCGUCCUAUUAGCUAGUUGGUGAGGUAACGGCUCACCGAGGCAGUGAUAGGUAGGCGGCCUUAACGGGUGGUCGCCCACACUGGGAUUGAGAUACGGCCCAGACUCCUACGGGAGGCAGCAGUCGAGAAUAGUCUACAAUGGUCGAAAGACUGAUAGUGCGACGCCGCGUGAACGAAGAAGCCCUUCGGGGUGUAAAGUUCUUUUAUAUGUGAGCAGUGACAUCUAUAUUAAUAGUAUGGGUGUAGAGAUAUUAGCAUAUGAAUAAGCAACGGCUAACUCCGUG